GCAAGUCGAGCGGAAACGACAACAUUGACUCUUCGGAGGAUUUGUUGGGCGUCCAGCGGCGGACGGGUGAGUAAUGACUAGGAAAUUGCCUUGAUGUGGGGGAUAACCAUUGGAAACGAUGGCUAAUACCGCAUAAUGCCUACGGGCCAAAGAGUGGGACCUUCGGGCCUCUAGCGUCAAGAUAGGCCUAGGUGGGAUUAGCUAGUUGGUGAGGUAAUGGCUCACCAAGGCGACGAUCCCUAGCUGGUCUGAGAGGAUGAUC
Molecule: ribosomal RNA, 262 nt
Filed under: uncultured bacterium
Lineage: Bacteria
Description: partial 16S ribosomal RNA
Rfam family: Bacterial small subunit ribosomal RNA
Source: RNAcentral